Long non-coding RNA from Hippocampus zosterae (dwarf seahorse), 1577 nucleotides. RefSeq lists it as uncharacterized. The record is from RefSeq and is a predicted model, not a curated record. The transcript has 3 exons. NCBI's taxonomy places the organism in Eukaryota, Metazoa, Chordata, Actinopteri, Syngnathiformes, Syngnathidae.
AAGCAUUCUCAGCUGCAACGUCAACUGUAGCGAGCUACUUGGAAGAGAAAGCGAGGGAGAAAACGGACCAUUAACUUAUAUCUUAUGUCAACUUAGCCAAGUGUAAUAUUUUGUCACAAGAUAAUGGUUCAAUUCUUGGUUCGGUGAAUGCCUGCAGUGCGCCGGCUUGGGUAGUAAGGCAUUUCAAUGGUUAGCUUCCGAGUAGCCUCCCCAUCAUCAUUAUCGUUGCUUGAUAUAAUGCAGCUCCAGUCCACGGCCACCAGGAAAUAAAAUGUCGAGAAAAAAAAGUUAAAUGUUUAUAAUAACAUGGUUAAUAUUCUAUUUUAAAACUGUACCCGUGAAGGUCUGCUAUGACAGGUAGUUUCCCUCUAUGUCACGUGAACGACAUCCUGCAUACUACAUCUUUGUUAUCAUUAUUUUAUCACAUUCAAGAAUAUUUUCCAGUGUUGUGAAGACAAAUUCAAAAGCGUGACAUCCACAAAAACUAAAAGGUCCUUCUCAACAAGUCAAAUUCAUUGUAGUUAUUCUGGUAUUUAGCCGGCCUUGGUUCAUCUUCUAAGUAUAUUGGCAAAGACUCCUUCAAGAGGGAAAAUAAAUGGAGACGGUGGCCUCCAAAAACUAAUCAUCUUGUGAUUGUUGAGGAACUCACGCUACAAUGGCGAGAGGAAAUAUUUUCCCCAUAGCCUACAAGAAUUAAAUGCUGCUGACUCAGCAGCUCUACCGUUGGAGGAAAUGUGAAGAAAAGACCUCUUUGUCAUAUGGUGACUACAGUGGCUUUGAGAAAGUCAGUGUUUUCUUGGGGCCGUUAUUUUAUUUUUUACAAGCAGAGUGUUUGAACUCAUUGUGUGCUUCUUGUUGGUCACAAGAAAAAAAUCAAUUUUAAAGUCCAUUGUCAAUCUACAUAUGCACAGGUCUUUGCUUUUAGCCACUUAUUGUUUUCCAAAAGAAAUAUAAGUGGCAAAUGUGCAUAAAAUUUGGGACUAUUUGUAGUGCAACCCAAAUUUCCUAGAAAAAUAUGCCUCGAGGGCCAAAAAGUAACUUGAUAUCUUAUCUUAUCUUAAAAUCUUGCAAGGCCUGAGCUCAGUAAGGAAUACACUACCACGUAUCGUCCUAACUUUGGAAUGAAAUGUUUUUCUAUGAUGCACCGAUUGAAUACUUUUGUCACAAGUUUCACACAUCCUAUCAGUGCCUGUUAUGAGCAUCCUCUGGACUGGUGCUCUGUUGGUGCUUUUCUAUUUGAGACUCAUCGCCUGCCCCUCUGCUUUAUCGAAAGACACGAUUGCAGAUUCUCUGUAAUGCCUGCCAUGGUCUGUUCAUUCUAAGACCUCUCAAUGUUGGUACGUGAGAGGCCAGUGCAGUGAGCUGGACUGAGAGGUCUUUCACAUACAAGUCCCGUUUCCCAGUUUUCAUUGCUCCCCAGCAAAUGGUUUGUUUGCAUUCCUUAGCGUAUUUUACUUUCCUGUUGGAAUUAGGCAACUAGGGUCAUGUUACCUUUUUGUUAUUCUUUCUGAAGACACCAAGACUACACAUUGCCGUCCCUGUUCACAGGUCUCGGCCUUAAUUACAAAAAAAAAGAA